AGUCAAUGAUCGAAAGAUUGAUCUAGUUACUUAGAAAGAUGAAGAUUAUAAAUAAAAAUAAAAAUAAUAAUGUAGAAUAUAAAAUCUAUAGUAUAUUAAAAAGAAUAAUGAUGUUUUAAUAUAUAAUAGUCUUAACAAAAAUUAGUGCCAGCAGUUGCGGCUAAACUAAGAAGACGAACGCUAAUCAUUAAAGGCUUAAAGGAUCCGUAGUAUAUUAUAUUAAAUAUAUAUAAUAGAGUUAAAUAAUAUAUUAAUGAAAAAUUAUAGUGAGGGAUGAUAUCUUAUGAUAAUAAUUAGACAAUCAAAAUUGAAGAUAUUAAUAAAUAUUUAACUGACAUUGAGGGAUGAAGGCAUGAGUAGCAAAACGGAUUAGAUACCCGAGUAGUUCAUGCAGUAAACGAUGAAUACUAAAUAAAAUAUAAGUGAAGACUUAAGUAUUCCGCCAGGUGAGUAUAUUCGCAAGAAUGAAAUCCAAGACAAUAGACGGUUACAGAUGUAGGCAGUGGAUUGUGUUAU
This 516-nucleotide ribosomal RNA is filed under the name Ambrosiozyma ambrosiae. RNAcentral's name for it is "partial small subunit ribosomal RNA". It matches the Rfam family "Bacterial small subunit ribosomal RNA", at positions 366 to 945 of the family's 1533-position model. Lineage: Eukaryota; Fungi; Ascomycota; Pichiomycetes; Pichiales; Pichiaceae. The record is from RNAcentral.